This 497-nucleotide ribosomal RNA is filed under the name uncultured bacterium. Its description in RNAcentral is "partial 16S ribosomal RNA". It matches the Rfam family "Bacterial small subunit ribosomal RNA", at positions 28 to 507 of the family's 1533-position model. The record is from RNAcentral.
GAUGAACGCUGGCGGCGUGCCUAAUACAUGCAAGUCGAGCGAACAGACGAGGAGUUUGCUCAUCUGACGUUAGCGGCGGACGGGUGAGUCACACGUGGAUAACCCACCUAUAAGACUGGGAUAUCUUCGGGAAACCGGAGCUAAUACCGGAUAAUAUAGUGAACCGCAUGGUUCAAUAGUGAAAGACGGUUUUGCUGUCACUUGUAUAUGUAUCCGCGCCGCAUUAGCUAGUUGGUAAGGUAACGGCUUACCAAGGCAACGAUGCGUAGCCGACCUGAGAGGGUGAUCGGCCACACUGGAACUGAGACACGGUCCAGACUCCUACGGGAGGCAGCAGUAGGGAAUCUUCCGCAAUGGGCGAAAGCUUGACGGAGCAACGCCGCGUGAGUUAGGAAGGUCUUCGGGUCGUGAAACCCUGUUAUUAGGGAAGAACAGCUGUGUAAGCAACUAUGAACGUCUUGACGGUACCUAAACAGAAAGCCACGGCUAACUACUUG